This 3800-nucleotide long non-coding RNA is filed under the name Rhinolophus ferrumequinum (greater horseshoe bat). Its description in RNAcentral is "lncRNA (ENSRFEG00010016236.1)". The record is from RNAcentral. Lineage: Eukaryota; Metazoa; Chordata; Mammalia; Chiroptera; Rhinolophidae.
UGGGGUGACAAUUGUUAGUAAAAUUACAUAGAUUCCAGGUGUACAAUUCUGAAUAAGAAAAAUUUUUAAAUUUAAUUCUUUUAGUCCUCAAAUCACAGCUGUUUUCAUUUUUCAUCUACCGGUUUGCUUUUUGCGCAUUCGCUUUCUCAUCGUAAUCACAACAUCCUGUGUUUGUGCUUACGCGAUGGGUUUCUUCCCAGUUUACGUAAACAAAGAUAAUAAGUAUUAUGUCGUGCCCUCUCUCACCGGAAGGCAGCCGGAGGACACGAGGGAGAGCCGGCCGCAAGAAAGACCUUGGUUUAGCAAGGAACAGCAGUCGGGGAUUGGGCGAGGCAGGGGCAGACAGCCACCUCGAGACCCCAAUUACCCGGGCCCCGCCCCGCGUCCCAGGCCCCGCCCCGCGUCCCAGGCCCCGCCCCGCGUCCCAGGCCCCGCACCACCUCCCAGGCCCCGCACCACCUCCAGGGCCCGCCCCUGCCCGUCGCCAUAUUGUUGCCUCAGCGCUAGGCGGGAGCAGCCGGAGUUGCAUUCGGGCUGCGCUGCUACCUUGUCCAUCCCGCAGAAACCCCGACCCUCUCUGUUUCCUCAUUGCACCUGGACCGGCUAGCCCGGAGCUCCCGGACGUCCGCCGUGUGGCCGCGAGAAACUUCCUGCACGCCUAUAAUGAGCCUGGCACAGUGGUGAACUGCUUCAAGGGCACUGGAGAUAAUGAUGAUGCUUGAACUGAACAAUUAAGGUGAGAUUUAUGACCUAUGUAGUAUGCUUUUCCUAUUCAGAUUUCCUUAUAGAAUUUAAAAGUGGUGUUUUAACCUUGAUGAAGAUUGUUGUCUUUGAGCAACCAUUCCAAACUGGAGUAUAAAAGGCUUCACAGUCCAUUUUAAGGUGAGUUCUGAAAAUAACAUAGCAGGGUACCUUCAUUCAUUCAGCUUACACUAAAGAAGUUUCAAAGGACUUACUGUUUUCAGAGAAGAAAAAGGUAACAUUUUUAAUGUCUAAGCUGAUUAUAGUUAUGUUACUGUGUAGAUUGCAUGAAUUUAGCUUUUGUUAGAUGUCACUGGGAAAUAAGAUGUUUUGUACAAGUAGCUGUAUCACCAUGUAUAUAUAUAUGCUUAUUAUAUACAACUCUACUCAGAAUCACAGAGAUGUUUGUAUGUAUAUUAGUUGUCUUAGCAAAUGUCAACCGACUCCCAAAUAGGAUAUCUGGGAGGCCUCAAAUUAUAGAUGGGAAAUGUAAACAUUGUAUCCUAUUUCCUGGUGUGUGGGUCUAACAUGCCCCAAAUUUGUUUGAUCAGAAUAAUGGCACAAACUAGGAAAUCCCAUGUUGUUAUGAAAAAAAGAAAGUGCCCUGAUAAAAUUGCAAAUGACAAAUCACAAGGCAUUUCCAAGACUUAAUUUGAUGCAAAUAGCCAUCUGAGUGGAGGCGGUUAGCAUGUAUAAUCUGGUUUAUCAUUUGUUACACCCUCAUGACAGAACAUGGAACUUUGUGUUCACGUGUCUCAGACAUUGUGUGAAAGGAACAGCCUUGGGAUGGGGGUUGCUGGGAAGGUUCCCAGUGUUGGUGAUGACCAAGCUGAGUGUUUCUGAGGGCCCUGAGUGACUCGGGGUGGAGUCACUAGCAGCGGGAACAGUAUGUGCCAGGUGAAGGCAAGGGAGAGAGUGCGAGCUGAGCAAGUGGAAUUGAAUUUCCGCCCCAUCUGUGCAUUUCCGAGUAGUGACGGAAGCCGAGAAUGGGGAGCAGGGCCAAGUGUCUUGCCUUAGAAGUUGGACUUAGACUUGAAUCUCUGGACUACUGAGGAAGGUUGAGGAGGGGGCAUUUGACAAAUGUCAGAAUAGUUGGUGUGCUUUUUUGGUUUUGUUACUCCUUUUUCUAUAAGUUGAAGUUGUUUAAGCAAGAUUGCAAAGUAUUAAAGGAACCAAUUUAGCGCGUUGUUACCUAUUUCAGGAAAUUAAGAGGCUUGAGAUUGUUUCAGUUUCUUCUCUGACAUUAAUUUAGUCUGGGCCUUGGGCACAGUGCUCCAUUGGCAGUCGAAAGACUCCAAGAGGUAUAUGCACCUUGAUUGCCUGAUACUUUUGUUGGCCAGUUUAAAUUGUAUUAAUUGCAGUAAUUACUGGAGUAUUAAUUUAAAAGAGCCAAUAAGAGUUAGGGACAAGUUGCUACAAGUUUUAUCAGAAUAGUGUAGCAUGUUGUUGGAAAUACAGAAUUCUUACACAUUAUAGGACAUGUUCAGUUACAUUACACUGGGUCACAUUUGCACAUAACUAGGAGAUAGCCACAGAAUGUUUACUGCAACUGCAGUGGUCUUGCAAAUUCAUCCUAGGCAAUAUCACAAUUAUUGUUCACGUCUUUAUUACCUUCCCAUUGAGCGAUUCACAAUAUCUACUUUCCAUGUUGAUUAUCAUUUUUGCUCUAGAGUCGUGCUGUCCAAUACAGCUAUUGGCUCUUUAAAUAUGGCUAUUCAAAUCAGUUAAAAUUAAAUAAAAAUAAAAUUAAAAUUAAAAUUCAGUUCCUCCCUCCUCCCAGCCGUAUGCCAAGUGUUCAGUAGCCACAUGUGGCUAAUGGCUGCCAUAUUAGACACUACAGAUGGUGGACAUCUCCACGCUUGCAGAAAGUUCUGUUAGUGCUACGCUAAAGGUUGUCUACUUUUACAAAUUUCAAUAUACUUACAAGCCACUUACUACUGAAAUAUUUACAGAUUAAGUGAUAUAAUUUGGUUCAAAAUAGGGAAAUGGGAGAAUGGGGAGUUAUGGAAGAAAUAGGAUUUGCCAUAAGUUGAUAAUUGUGAAACUAGGUUUAGGGUCCAUGGAGUUUCCUUAUAUUAUUCUCAUUAUUCAGGAAUUUUGUGUAUGCUUGAAAUUGCCCAUAAUAAAGAAUUAAAACAGAAGCUUGAAUAGGAACAGCGCUCCCAUCAGUGCUUAGAAGCAGCCGUCUGUAAAUGGGCAUCUGAAAUCCCACCCGACAGGCUGAUGCCUGUAGUGGAGGAAGGGUUUUAAUCCUGCCCCAGGGUUCCCUCCAAGGGGUACACGUAGUACCACAUUCUUGUUUAAGGUUUAUUUCAUUCCAACUUCAAACACACAUGUAACAGCACGUUUGUUAAGAGUUGGAACUGCCCAAAUGAGUAUUGAGGGUAGAAUGUGCUAUAUUACAAUAUUAUAUUAAAAAUUCCAUUGCUGCUGACAUUAAUUUUGGCAAACUCAAAAUCGUGUUCGUGAUGAAGAGAACAGAGUCUGUUUACUCAAUGGUUGGCGUAUUUUUGUUCACUGCCAGGUCAGUCAGCUUCUGUCUCUGGUUUCCCCGUUAUCAGCUCCUAUGGUAACGGCACUGGAAGAGAGAAAGCAGGGGUCUUCGAGAAAAUCCCUGGCACGAGAGGAAAGCCAUUGGUGAACACUGCUACUGUGUCUGUCACCAAAGGGCUGUUUGAAGUUGUUACAGAGACUUGCCUACUUUGGUCUCCUGCUGCAUCUCUAACAAGCGGUAGCAGAGCUUAUUGUGCGUAGAGAGGAGCGGUGGAGAGCAAGGUCUUUGGGGCAGACUUGGCCUUGAGUACCAGCUGCAGUCAGCUGAGACCCAAGGAAGGGAAGUGUGAGCCCUCACCAGCUCUCGUAGGGAACAUUAGGUGCCUGGCGCGUACUUGAGUGCUCUGUAAAUGACAGCUCUUGCUAUUAUGUAUUCUCUGUGCAGAAAGGAACUGGGGCUCUUUGUUUUAUUUCCCUCAAAUGCUGAUAUUCAUAGAAUCAUGUAGAGCAGUGUGCAGGUCUACAGGAAUGUAAUGGUACCUUUUUAUUUUACAGGGUUCUGAAGU